This 253-nucleotide ribosomal RNA is filed under the name uncultured bacterium. RNAcentral's name for it is "partial 16S ribosomal RNA". It matches the Rfam family "Bacterial small subunit ribosomal RNA", at positions 524 to 776 of the family's 1533-position model. The record is from RNAcentral.
UACGUAGGGUGCAAGCGUUGUCCGGAAUUAUUGGGCGUAAAGAGCUCGUAGGCGGUUUGUCGCGUCUGCUGUGAAAACUCGGGGCUUAACCCUGAGCCUGCAGUGGGUACGGGCAGGCUGGAGUUCGGUAGGGGAGACUGGAAUUCCUGGUGUAGCGGUGAAAUGCGCAGAUAUCAGGAGGAACACCGGUGGCGAAGGCGGGUCUCUGGGCCGAUACUGACGCUGAGGAGCGAAAGCGUGGGGAGCGAACAGG